This 450-nucleotide ribosomal RNA is filed under the name uncultured bacterium. RNAcentral's name for it is "partial 16S ribosomal RNA". It matches the Rfam family "Bacterial small subunit ribosomal RNA", at positions 354 to 796 of the family's 1533-position model. The record is from RNAcentral.
GUGGGGAAUCUUGCGCAAUGGGCGAAAGCCUGAUCCAGCCAUGCCGCGUGUGUGAAGAAGGUCUUCGGAUUGUAAAGCACUUUAAGUUGGGAGGAAGGGCAGUAAGUUAAUACCUUGCUGUUUUGACGUUACCGACAGAAUAAGCACCGGCUAACUUCGUGCCAGCAGCCGCGGUAAUACGAAGGGUGCAAGCGUUAAUCGGAAUUACUGGGCGUAAAGCGCGCGUAGGUGGUUUUGUAAGUUGGAGGUGAAAUCCCCGGGCUCAACCUGGGAACUGCCUCCAAAACUACUGAGCUAGAGUACGGUAGAGGGUAGUGGAAUUUCCUGUGUAGCGGUGAAAUGCGUAGAUAUAGGAAGGAACACCAGUGGCGAAGGCGACUACCUGGACUGAUACUGACACUGAGGUGCGAAAGCGUGGGGAGCAAACAGGAUUAGAAACCCCUGUAGUCC